This 477-nucleotide ribosomal RNA is filed under the name uncultured bacterium. RNAcentral describes it as "partial 16S ribosomal RNA". It matches the Rfam family "Bacterial small subunit ribosomal RNA", at positions 28 to 523 of the family's 1533-position model. The record is from RNAcentral.
GACGAACGCUGGCGGCGUGCUAACACAUGCAAGUCGAGCGAUGAAGCUCCUUCGGGAGUGGAUUAGCGGCGGACGGGUGAGUAACACGUGGGUAACCUGCCUCAUAGAGGGGAAUAGCCUUUCGAAAGGAAGAUUAAUACCGCAUCAGAUUGUAGCUUCGCAUGAAGCAGCAAUUAAAGGAGUAAUCCGCUAUGAGAUGGACCCGCGUCGCAUUAGCUAGUUGGUGAGGUAACGGCUCACCAAGGCGACGAGGCGUAGCCGACCUGAGAGGGUGAUCGGCCACAUUGGGACUACGACACGGCCCAGGCGCCUACGGGAGGCAGCAGUGGGGAGUAUUGCACAAUGGGGGAAACCCUGAUGCAGCAACGCCGCGUGAGUGAUGACGGUCUUCGGAUUGUAAAGCUCUGUCUUCAGGGACGAUAAUGACGGUACCUGAGGAGGAAGCCACGGCUAACUACGUGCCAGCCGCCGCCGUAA